AUGACGCCCAGCCCGUCCCUCUCGUCAUCCUUUUCGUCCUCCUCCCGGUUGCUGCGGUCGUCGUCGUUGUCCUCGCAGUGCAGCACCAGCGGCAGGCGGAGCAUGGACGAGGAGGCGGAGGCCGUCGUCGCGCCACUGCCGCCGAUGCAGAAGCGAGUGCUGUCGAGGAGCCACGGGUCCAGGGCCGCGCCGGGUCGGCAACUCCCGCCGAAGAACGUCGUCCGGGACGCCGGACCGCCUUCAGAAAUGGAUUUGGUGAAAGAGAGAUUCGCCAAGCUGUUGCUCGGGGAGGACAUGUCCGGCACCGGGAAAGGUGUCUCCUCCGCCCUUGCUCUCUCCAAUUCCAUCACAAACCUUGCAGCCUCCGUGUUCGGGGAGCAGCGCCGCCUAGAGCCCAUGUCGGCCGACCGAAAAGCGCGAUGGAAGAAGGAGAUCGGCUGGCUUCUGUCGGUCACCGAUCACAUCGUCGAAUUCGUUCCAUUGCAACAGGUGUCCGAGGAUGGCACCAGCAUGGAGGUGAUGGGCACCCAGCUACGCAGGGACAUUCUCAUGAACAUCCCCGCCUUGCGAAAACUUGACGCGAUGCUCCUCGGGUAUCUUGACAACUUCAAGGACGAACAAGAGUACUGGUACGUGUCAAAAAACGCCAACGAGAGCGAGAAGGGCGAUGCACCGAGAGACGGCGAGAAAUGGUGGAUCCCAACGGUGAGAGUCCCUCCCGAGGGUCUGUCCGACCAAUCGAGGAAGUGGCUCCAGCACCAGAAGGACCUUGUCGGGCAAGUGCUCAAGGCAGCCAUGGCCAUCAAUGCAAAUGUCCUUGCACAGAUGGAGAUUCCAGAAGAAUACAUCGAGGCUCUACCCAAGAAUGGGAGGGAAAGUCUCGGAGACUCCAUAUACAGAACCAUAACCGAUGAUUAUUUUGACCCAAACGGACUCCUGGACUCCGUAGACCUAUCGACGGAACACAAGAUCGUCGAUCUCAAGGACAGAAUCGAGGCCUCCGUUGUCAUCUGGCAGAGGAAACUCUGCAACAAGCUGUCAUGGGGCCCCGGCGUCAGCUUGGAGAAGCGCGAGCAAUUCGAGGAGCGCGCACAGACCGUCCUGCUCAUCCUCAAGCACAAGUUCCCUGGAUCUGCCCAGUCAUCGCUUGACAUAAGCAAGAUCCAAUACAACAAGGAUGUUGGGUUUGCCAUCUUGGAAAGCUACUCCAGGGCUCUCGAGAGCUUGGCGUUUGCGGUUCUGUCACGGAUCGAGGACGUCCUCUAUGCCGACAACGUCGCUCAGGAUCCGAGGCGCUCGAAAUCGAGGCGGCGGCCUAGAUUAGAGGACGACAUCACUGAGUCUCUCGUUGUCGAUGCCACGGAGGCCACUUCGGCCAAGGCCAGCGAUUCAUUUUGCUGGCAAGAGCUCGAGGACAGGAGCCUGGAUUCCCGCGGUGGCAAGCUGAAGAAGAUCCCCCGUAUCAGCAGGAGGAAAUCUAUGCACGUAGACAAGGUCGAGAUGAACGUGUGCGGUGUUGGUGCUGGAUCAAGAAGCUUUUCUCAUAGGUGA
This 1551-nucleotide ribosomal RNA is filed under the name Triticum aestivum (bread wheat). Its description in RNAcentral is "partial small subunit ribosomal RNA". Lineage: Eukaryota; Viridiplantae; Streptophyta; Magnoliopsida; Poales; Poaceae. The record is from RNAcentral.